Molecule: ribosomal RNA, 87 nt
Filed under: Escherichia coli
Lineage: Bacteria; Pseudomonadati; Pseudomonadota; Gammaproteobacteria; Enterobacterales; Enterobacteriaceae
Also listed under: 1 other name
Description: partial 16S ribosomal RNA
Rfam family: Bacterial small subunit ribosomal RNA
Source: RNAcentral
UUAAAUUGAAGAGUUUGAUCAUGGCUCAGAUUGAACGCUGGCGGCAGGCCUAACACAUGCAAGUCGAACGGUAACAGGAAGAAGCUU